GUGCAAACUUCAGUCUUGGCAACCCCAAAGGCAUUGCUAUCACUUGUGUGCUUUCAGUUUGCUUUUUGCCAGCAUCCUGGAGGCAGGUACAGGAGAAACACGUGUUGAGCUGUGCCUCUCCUGCCUCUUUCAGCACCCCCUGCUCUGACGUGGACUGUACCUGCUGAGAGCAAGGCAGCGCCCGAAAAACAUCAGGGAAUCAGGUUACAUGAGAUCCUUCCAGCUUCGGGUGAUUAACUCACUCCAUUUCAUAGAACUGGGACGCUUUUGAAGAAAACCCAAUGGAAUACACACACACAAGUCACUGGCAAUCAAGGAAAGCUACACACGGGAAGAAUACAAGAAAAGGAGCAAAUCCAACAAGAAAAAGAAGCGUUCAAACAUGACUGAAGUGGUUUAGAGUGUUGCCCAAGUCCAGUGUUGGAAACACCUCUGGAAGAGGUAUCCCUGGGAGCUGGUCACCUGAAGACAGUGAAAAAACGGAUGUGAGAAAGGAAGGACCUGGUCAUCCAUCAGAUGGAAUCCAGACGUGACAAUUA
RNAcentral lists this long non-coding RNA (539 nucleotides) under Parus major (Great Tit). RNAcentral describes it as "lncRNA (ENSPMJG00000010994.1)". Lineage: Eukaryota; Metazoa; Chordata; Aves; Passeriformes; Paridae. The record is from RNAcentral.